AGGCGGCCCUAGCGCCAUUUUGUGGGGACGAAGCGGUGGCCGUGCUGCUGUCGGGACCUUCCCUGCUCGGUGUCCGUGUCGCGCUUCCCAGCCGCGGCCUAGCGGUAAGGAAAGAUGUCUGAGUACAUCCGGGUAACGGAAGACGAGAAUGACGAGCCUAUUGAAAUCCCAUCCGAAGAUGACGGUACCGUGCUGUUGUCCACGGUGACGGCCCAGUUUCCAGGGGCAUGUGGGCUGCGCUACAGGAACCCGGUGUCUCAGUGUAUGAGAGGUGUCCGGCUGGUGGAAGGGAUUCUGCAUGCCCCCGAUGCUGGCUGGGGAAAUCUGGUGUAUGUUGUCAACUAUCCAAAAGAUAACAAAAGGAAAAUGGAUGAGACAGAUGCUUCAUCGGCAGUGAAGGUGAAAAGGGCAGUCCAGAAAACAUCAGAUCUAAUCGUACUGGGCCUCCCGUGGGAAACAACCGAACAGGAUCUCAAAGAAUAUUUUAGUACCUUCGGAGAAGUUCUCAUGGUGCAGGUCAAGAAAGACAUUAAAACUGGUCAUUCAAAAGGAUUUGGCUUUGUUCGCUUUACGGACUAUGAAACACAAGUGAAAGUAAUGUCCCAGCGACAUAUGAUAGAUGGGCGAUGGUGUGACUGUAAACUCCCCAACUCCAAGCAAAGCUUAGAUGAGCCUUUGAGAAGCAGAAAGGUGUUUGUGGGGCGGUGCACAGAGGACAUGACAGCUGAGGAGCUGCAGCAGUUCUUCUGUCAGUAUGGAGAGGUGGUGGACGUCUUUAUCCCCAAACCAUUCAGGGCUUUUGCCUUUGUUACAUUCGCAGACGAUCAGGUGGCCCAGUCUCUCUGCGGCGAGGACCUGAUCAUUAAAGGCAUCAGCGUGCAUAUCUCCAAUGCAGAACCUAAGCACAAUAGCAGUAGACAGUUAGAAAGAAGUGGAAGAUUUGGUGGUAAUCCAGGUGGCUUUGGGAAUCAGGGUGGGUUUGGUAACAGUAGAGGGGGUGGAGCUGGCUUGGGAAAUAAUCAGGGUAGCAAUAUGGGGGGAGGGAUGAACUUUGGUGCUUUCAGCAUUAACCCAGCAAUGAUGGCUGCUGCCCAAGCAGCCCUGCAGAGCAGUUGGGGUAUGAUGGGCAUGCUGGCCAGUCAGCAGAACCAGUCAGGCCCAUCAGGCAAUAACCAAAGCCAGGGAAACAUGCAGAGAGAGCCAAACCAGGCUUUCGGUUCUGGGAAUAACUCUUACAGUGGGUCUAAUUCUGGUGCGGCCAUUGGUUGGGGCUCAGCCUCGAAUGCUGGCUCAGGCAGUGGGUUCAAUGGGGGAUUCGGCUCAAGCAUGGAUUCCAAGUCUUCUGGCUGGGGAAUGUAGGUUGUGGGUUGUGGGUGUCUGGUUGGUUGGUUGGUUGGUUGGUUGGUUGGUAGGUAUGGAAUGGUGGGAAUUUAAAUUUUUCUAAACUCAUGGUAAGUAUAUUGUAAAAUACGUAUGUACUAAGGAUUUUCCAAAUUGGUUUGUUCAGUGUGGAGUAUAUUCAGCAGUAUUUUUGACAUUUUUCUUUCAAAAAAAGAGGAAGAGCUAAAGGAAUUUUACAAGUUUUGUUACAUAAAAGGUUGAACUAGUGAGUGGCUGAAAGGGAGCUGCUGUUUGCCUGAAUGGUAAACCAACACUACAAUUGAUAGCAAAAGGUUUCUCCUGUACUCGUUUAUCCCUGGACUUGUUAAGAGAAUUCUUUGCAUGUUCAAAGUGGAAACCAUUGGUUAGAACUGCAUCUUUUUCUCCUUGUUUUAAUUUGAACCCCACCACAUGGGUUUUCCCUGGGAACCUCUCCUGGGAGGUGACGGACGGUGUCUCGCGGUGUUUGGUUCUUUUGGUUUUGGUUUUUAACGCUUGUCUCCCCUCACAUGCAAAAGUACAAUAUGAAGCCUUCAUUUAAUCUCUGCAGUUCAUCUCAUUUCAAAUGUUUAUGGAAGAAGCACUUCAUUGAAAGUAGUGCUGUAAAUACUCUGCCAUAGGAAUGCUUCUGUCACACGCUUUCUCAUCCGAGAGUUCGCCAUCACACUGCACAGGCUGCGUCUUGACGCCCUGAAUGCAAAGAAUUCAUAGCAGUUAAUUCCCCUUUUUUGACCCUUUUGAGAUGGAACUUUCAUAAAGUUUCUUGGCAGUAGCUUAUUUCGCUUCAAAUAAACUUAUUUGAAAAGUUGUCUCAAGUCAAAUGGAUUCAUCACCUGUCAUGCAUUGACACCUGAUACCCAGACUUAAUUGCUAUUUGUUCUUGCAUUGUCCAAAGUGAAAAAGGUUUUUAUUAUUGUUGUUUUUUUAAUCUAGUAUUUAAUAAGUCUGGGUGAGCGCACCUAAAAUGGUAAGCAGUGCCCUCCGCUUUGUCUUGGUGCCCCUGUGCGUUUGGGUGAUGUUCUAUUUUCUUGGCCUGUAAAAUGGCCAUUGGAGAAUGGAGCCCUCUAAAAAACGGUUGGGGGAGUGGGCAGAACAACACUGAUCGUCCCCAUGCUUGUUUGUGGCCAAGCACACGCUUGAAAGGAGGAAUGAUCCGCACCUUUCUGUUCGGGAUUUGAAAAGUGGAAUUAAUUGCAAUAGGGAUAACGGUAGAAGAAACCACAAAUUACCUUGUGCCUGAAAUCCAUUAAGAAGCCUGAUAGCUUUAAGACCGGUUGGGUGGGUAGUCUGUGCAGUGUUAAGUGAAGUGGGCUUUACCCUCUGAGGAGGAAUAUAGUCAUUCCUGUUGAUAAACUCACUCGCACAACUCAGAUUAGACUCUGGCGAUGCACUGUUAAGACUGUAAAAGCAAUAAUAGAUGGAUUUGUACUUUUUCUGUAACUGCUGACCCCUUGAGAAUUGAGGGGGCCUGUUUUUUAGUUGGAAGAAUGUGACAGCUUUUGUGUUGCUACUUUACCUGAUGUCCUUACCAAAUUAGAUUCUGAUAAAUAGGUUUGUCAUUUUGCAAGCUUGGUGUAUCGAUAAAGUCAUCCUUUAGACUUGUGAUUGCCACGUUGUUUUGUUUCCUCUGUAAAAGGCUCUUGAGUUGUUUUUUGAAUUUUCUUUUUCUGCACGAUUUCCAAACCCUGUACAUCUGCAUUUUGCAUUUUAGCACUUGCACUGUUACUCAGCAGCAGUAACAUGGUAACACUUAAAAUGGUACUCGGGGACCUCCAAAGACUAAACUGGCACGCCUUCAAGGAGCCCAGGGGUAAGUGCACCUGUCGAUGGCAUGGUUUUAAUCCCUCAUUUCACCUGUGAAAGCGAGUUCCUGGUCGUAGGAGGCCUGCGCUGUUGACUCGCCUUUUAUUAACAUGUCUGCGGUACUACACCGGCAAAAGGGUAGUUACUCUACCCGGAAAAAGAAGUGAAAAUUUCAGCUAUUUGGCAAUGAUAAUGUGCUUAAAAGUCUAUUUGGUCAUCUAAAUGCAUUCAUUCUCGAAAUUCUUUUAAACCACAGUUGAAUAAAAAGUUUUGCUGCCACCAACA
Molecule: RNA transcript, 3468 nt
Organism: Dipodomys ordii (Ord's kangaroo rat)
Lineage: Eukaryota; Metazoa; Chordata; Mammalia; Rodentia; Heteromyidae
Gene: Tardbp
Gene name: TAR DNA binding protein
Exons: 7
Source: RefSeq, a predicted model, not a curated record